RNAcentral lists this ribosomal RNA (248 nucleotides) under uncultured bacterium. RNAcentral describes it as "partial 16S ribosomal RNA". It matches the Rfam family "Bacterial small subunit ribosomal RNA", at positions 107 to 354 of the family's 1533-position model. The record is from RNAcentral.
UGAGUAACGCGUGAGGAACCUGCCUUUCGGAGGGGGACAACAGUUGGAAACGACUGCUAAUACCGCAUGACGUAUCGGGAUCGCAUGGUCUUGAUACCAAAGAUUUUAUCGCCGAAAGAUGGCCUCGCGUCUGAUUAGCUAGUUGGUGGGGCAACGGCCUACCAAGGCGACGAUCAGUAGCCGGACUGAGAGGUUGGCCGGCCACAUUGGGACUGAGAUACGGCCCAGACUCCUACGGGAGGCAGCAG